Molecule: ribosomal RNA, 503 nt
Filed under: uncultured bacterium
Lineage: Bacteria
Description: bacterial SSU rRNA
Rfam family: Bacterial small subunit ribosomal RNA
Source: RNAcentral
GAUCAUGGCUCAGGAUGAACGCUAGCUACAGGCUUAACACAUGCAAGUCGAGGGGCAGCAUGAACAAAGCUUGCUUUGUUUGAUGGCGACCGGCGCACGGGUGCGUAACACGUAUCCAAUCUGCCCGCGGCUCGGGGAUAGCCCAUCGAAAGAUGGAUUAAUACCCGAUGGUGUGGUUUCUCCGCAUGGGGUUUCCACUAAAGGUUUUCCGGCCGCGGAUGAGGAUGCGUAUGAUUAGGUAGUAGGCGGGGUAACGGCCCACCUAGCCUUCGAUCAUUAGGGGUUCUGAGAGGAAGGUCCCCCACACUGGAACUGAGACACGGUCCAGACUCCUACGGGAGGCAGCAGUGAGGAAUAUUGGUCAAUGGGCGAGAGCCUGAACCAGCCAAGUAGCGUGAAGGAAGACUGCCCUAUGGGUUGUAAACUUCUUUUGUUCGGGAAUAAAGUGCAGUACGCGUACUGUUUUGUAUGUACCGUUCGAAUAAGCAUCGGCUAAUUCCGUG